UCAUCUCUUAUAUGCAAUUGAAGUGUUCACUGUUUUGAAGCUCUGGGGCUUCAAAAUUAGGAAAGUCACCCAGGCAAGAUUAGGCUGUAAGGGGUGCAAUAUGCAUAGCUUACCUGUCAGCAAUACAGCACUUAUACCGUUUUUUUCUAUUUUCUUGGAAGCCAAAAAUCAGUCGAUGUGGUGUCCCGAUACAUUUGCUCCGGAACUUCUGAUGCUCACCCAGUGGCUCACCAUCUCUUCAGAUAUCACACAGUCUUUGGCAGUUGUGUCUUGGUUUUGGAGUAAAUAUUUUCUUUGAGUCCAGGAAAAUCUGCAUAAUCAAGAUCAGGAUAAUUUGUUUGGAUGCCUGGCAGAACAGCCUGAUUUCAAGUCUCUUGCCCAUUUUGGAGAAGGCUUCUGGAAAGAUUAGAAAAAUACAAUCUUCCUCAGACAUAUCUUGGUAUGGAUUGCCUAGUUAUCUGGAAAUAUACCUAGCAUUUGAACCCUCAAGUACUUGGUACUUUUUAUUUUCAUUGAAGCUUUUAUUACAACAGACAUUCGAGUUUUUAAAAGAAUUAACUUUAAUUGGAAUUUAUUGGCUAUUCUUCCCCUAUAAAAACACAUUUUAAUUUAAAAGAACAUGUUUCUUACAGCUAGGUUUCAGCUCAACUGCUUUUACUUAGUAAAACCCUGUGAAAUGCCAUUGUGGAUCUCACUCACAGAGAAGUUAUUCAUGUAAGUAACGGCUGUAGAUCAAAGUCCAUAAUCUUAAAUAAAAGGUUAAUUUUUGCAACAA
Molecule: long non-coding RNA, 775 nt
Organism: Anas platyrhynchos (mallard)
Lineage: Eukaryota; Metazoa; Chordata; Aves; Anseriformes; Anatidae
Source: RefSeq, a predicted model, not a curated record